Molecule: small nuclear RNA, 112 nt
Filed under: Ursus maritimus (polar bear)
Lineage: Eukaryota; Metazoa; Chordata; Mammalia; Carnivora; Ursidae
Source: RNAcentral
GUCCUCGCUUCAGCAGUACAUAUACUAAAAUUGGAAUGAUACAGAGAAAGUCCAUUACAGAAGGGCCCCUGCACGGGAUGACAUGUGAAACUUCAGGCUGUUUGGGUUAUAA